CUUUGCUCCCACCAGGCGCUUCAUGGGAAAUAAAUUCUCUGCCCAAGUGUCUUUCGGUAGGGCAUGCAAAGCAGCCACUCCUUAUUUGAUUAAUCCUUACUCUGUAUUUUCCAGGGCGUGUACUGUAUCACCAAGGAUCCUACAUGACAUCAAUCUUCUUCUACAUCCCUCUUGGCAUGUGAUGAAAGGAGGAGUUUGCUUGGGAUUGUCUCGGUUGUCAAGAGACCAGCAGGUCUGCUCAUCCCCUGGGAGAGGCUGGCAGCAGAUGCCUCAGCCGCCUGACUCAGCAAUGCCAGGCUCACCCCUGGCCCAGGGACCUGUGCAGGUAAGACGGUGGGAGGGAAAGCAGAACCUCCAAACAUAGAAUCCCCAAGUCCCCAAGGGAGACCAAAAUGUUAUCUUCCUGUUUUUUCCUAGAAGCAAUAUCCUACGCCUGCCUCCAAUCCAGAGAAACGAGAGUGAUCUCAAUUUGAACAAAACCUUUUCCAGCCCAGUCUUAUGCAUCGGGCAUGGUUAGCUUCCACACUCCAACCCCACUGUCUUCCAUGGGUCCCCCUUGAUGCUGUUUCUUCUGAAAAUGGAAAUGCCCAUGCCUCACAGGCUCCAGAGAGGCAGAUGAAGUCAUGGAUAGGAAAGCACAGUGCUCAUGAGAUGUGGGUCUGCACAGCUACUACAAUCAAGGGCUGAAUUGGAAAUUUCCACAGAUAUCUCGGUUUGGCAGAUAAUGAGAUUUUAUAAGGAAAGCAUCCAACUAAGGAUGGGCCCCCUCUGACUAUACUACUUUCCUUUUCAAAAUAUCCCUGGGGUUCUCCAGUGCUUACAGAGU
RNAcentral lists this long non-coding RNA (826 nucleotides) under Capra hircus (goat). RNAcentral describes it as "lncRNA (ENSCHIG00000007091.1)". Lineage: Eukaryota; Metazoa; Chordata; Mammalia; Artiodactyla; Bovidae. The record is from RNAcentral.